Long non-coding RNA from Trichosurus vulpecula (common brushtail), 1376 nucleotides. RefSeq lists it as uncharacterized. The record is from RefSeq and is a predicted model, not a curated record. The transcript is spliced from 3 exons. Lineage: Eukaryota; Metazoa; Chordata; Mammalia; Diprotodontia; Phalangeridae.
ACGCUCAUUCGGUGGAACCUCUGUUGAUUGGUUGCGUUGGCCUCAGAGGAACACUUUGUACCUUCCUCAGGCAGAAUUUUGAUUCUCUGUUUAAACCAAUUCCUGUGCAUGAAUGGGAAGAUUUGGCCUCGCCAUUAUGGGCAGUCCCUUGGCAUGAAUGUUUGUAUCCAUACACAUCAAGGGGCCUCUCGAUUGUGGGUUUUUAACGGUAGAAUGCUAACAUUAGUGCUUGUUUGAGUACUAACCAUAAUGAAGUUAAACAGAUUCAAGGCCCAAGGCAGAUAUGCUUUAAUAGUUCAAAAAAAGAUACUUGGGAGACAACAUUUUUUUCUUUUUACCUUUCCAACUGGUUUCUCAGGAAACCAAUCUCCUUCCCUUCCUCCCUCCUUUCGAAUUGAAUAUCAAUAUUUGCUUGUGGUAGCCUCUGGACCAUUAACUGUAAAGCAUUCUGUCCUGAAGCAAAGGGGCUCUUCUUAUUUUCUCCCCCCUCAGUUUGGGGUCUCACAAGUUUAAUGACUGUGGCGGUCUCGUACCGCUUUGUGAGCACCCCUAGUAACAGAUCACAGUUUUCAGAAAGUUACUUGGUUUUGUUAAUUCCCUUGAGUCCAUGAAAACCUGGUUUCCUUUGUGUGAUGAACACUUUAUAACAAUAAGUUGCCACAAACUAGAAAUAACUUUGAAUUCAAUUUGUUUUUGUUGCUAAUAGGACCACUGACUCAGUUACAUUUACUUUUGUUUGGUUGCUUAAAAAAACCAACCCAAACCAGCCAGCACAGUGCCACUCGGUUGGAGGGAGUCAGGCCGAAGCUGCUUUGAUCAUCUCGGCCCAAACUGACUCUCCUCUACAGAUAAGGCUUCCUGGUACUGUAUGUGCCCACUAAGUGUCCACAUCCCUGAGCUGACCCCGGAGCCUAGAUGGCAGCCAAAUCACUGCCCAAAGUCCUUCCAUACCUGCUUUGGUGCCUCCUUGGGGCAGCUCCAUUGUCUCAUCUCGACAAUCCAAGUCUCUUUGUGUUGCUGGUCCUAAAUGUGUGGGGGUUUGUCGCAUGAUGCAAACACAGAUGCCUGGUGCCUGGCCGAGCACCUCGGAUGGGGACGUGGCUGUGCUGGGUGGCGCGAAGGGAUUUGGAGGGUAAUGUACCACUUUAGCUGUAUGUGCAUGUGUUCUCUGCUGCAGGCUUGGCCAUGCGAUCGUGCCUAGAGCACUCUGGUUUCCAGGUGACAGACACGAUUCACGGAGCACCAUUAGGUAAGGCAAAGGGGCUUCUUCCAUUGGCAGAGUAACCUUUUAACUGUGUCACCCCCGAGAAGAUACAGCUCUUGUUAUAACAGUGAGGUUUGCAAAAUGCUUUAUACACAUUCUAACUUGACCCUCA